RNAcentral lists this transfer RNA (82 nucleotides) under Stegodyphus dumicola. Its description in RNAcentral is "tRNA-Ser". It matches the Rfam family "tRNA". From Rfam's summary of the family: Transfer RNA (tRNA) molecules are approximately 80 nucleotides in length. Their secondary structure includes four short double-helical elements and three loops (D, anti-codon, and T loops). Lineage: Eukaryota; Metazoa; Arthropoda; Arachnida; Araneae; Eresidae. The record is from RNAcentral.
GUAGUUGUGGCCGAGCGGUUAAGGGGAUGGACUAGAAAUUCAUUGGGAUUUUCCCGCGUAGGUUCGAAUCCUACCAACUACA